RNAcentral lists this ribosomal RNA (207 nucleotides) under uncultured bacterium. Its description in RNAcentral is "partial 16S ribosomal RNA". It matches the Rfam family "Bacterial small subunit ribosomal RNA", at positions 568 to 774 of the family's 1533-position model. The record is from RNAcentral.
CGCGUAGGCGGCUUUUUAAGUCUGGUGUGAAAGGUUCAGGGCUCAACCCGAACAGUGCACUGGAUACUGGAGAGCUUGAGUUAGGGAGAGGAGAGUGGAAUUCCUGGUGUAGCGGUGAAAUGCGUAGAUAUCAGGAGGAACACCGAUGGCGAAGGCAGCUCUCUGGCCUAUAACUGACGCUGAGGUGCGAAAGCGUGGGAGCAAACG